This 401-nucleotide unclassified non-coding RNA is filed under the name soil metagenome. Its description in RNAcentral is "partial contains 5.8S ribosomal RNA, internal transcribed spacer 2, and large subunit ribosomal RNA". The stretch from base 1 to 121 matches the Rfam family "5.8S ribosomal RNA", at positions 35 to 154 of the family's 154-position model. The record is from RNAcentral.
GAUGAAGAACGUAGCGAAAUGCGAUAAGUAAUGUGAAUUGCAGAAUUCAGUGAAUCAUCGAAUCUUUGAACGCACCUUGCGCCCCUUGGUUAUUCCAAAGGGCAUGCCUGUUUGAGUAUCAUGAACACCUCAACUCUUGUGGUUUCCCACAAUGAGCUUGGACUGUGGAGGUUUUGUUGGCCCUGUGGUCAGCUCCUCUCAAAUGGAUCAGCUUACCGGUGUUUGGUGGCAUUACGGGUGUGAUAACUAUCUACGCUCGUGGUCGUCUCCAAAUAACCUCCAGUGAUGGAGGUUCGCUGGAGCUUAUAAAUGUCUCUACCCAGUGAAGACAGCCUUUGAACGUUCGAUCUCAAAUCAGGUAGGACUACCCGCUGAACUUAAGCAUAUCAAUAAGCGGAGGA